UGCAGAUGAUGUAAAAGAAUAUUUGCUAUUUGAAAGAUGGUGAUGACAUUUUAAACCACCAAGAUCGCUGAUGCA
Small nucleolar RNA from Castor canadensis (American beaver), 75 nucleotides. Its record names the gene SNORD24. It matches the Rfam family "Small nucleolar RNA SNORD24". Rfam says of the family: U24 is a member of the C/D class of snoRNA which contain the C (UGAUGA) and D (CUGA) box motifs. C/D box snoRNAs have been shown to act as methylation guides for a number of RNA targets. NCBI's taxonomy places the organism in Eukaryota, Metazoa, Chordata, Mammalia, Rodentia, Castoridae. The record is from Ensembl.